Long non-coding RNA from Perognathus longimembris pacificus (Pacific pocket mouse), 165 nucleotides. RefSeq lists it as uncharacterized. Lineage: Eukaryota; Metazoa; Chordata; Mammalia; Rodentia; Heteromyidae. The record is from RefSeq and is a predicted model, not a curated record. The transcript is spliced from 3 exons.
CACUAAGCGCUUAGCUGAUGACACACCACAACUGCGAACUGGUGCAGUUCUUUCUGUCCUGCAGUCAGCUAGGAUUUACUCGAGGGCACACCCUGGCUUCUGCACUGAGGCACUCAGCACACCCAGGUUAAAAGAUAAGGGAUGGGCUGGGAAUAUGGCCUAAUG